RNAcentral lists this transfer RNA (70 nucleotides) under Emticicia sp. CRIBPO. RNAcentral describes it as "tRNA-Met". It matches the Rfam family "tRNA". From Rfam's summary of the family: Transfer RNA (tRNA) molecules are approximately 80 nucleotides in length. The record is from RNAcentral. Lineage: Bacteria; Pseudomonadati; Bacteroidota; Cytophagia; Cytophagales; Leadbetterellaceae.
GGCCGUGUGCCUUAAUGGAAGGCAUAAGUCUCAUAAGCUUAGUCAGAUGGUUCGAAUCCAUUCACGGCCU